AUGGCCCUCUUCAACGAACUCUACUUGGGGGCCGUGGACCUUGGGCGCCUCAACUAUGGUGGCAUCAUUCUAAUCCCCAAAGUUCUGCGCGCCUCUGACAUCCGCCAGUUUCGAUCUAUCACCAUGAUCUACGUGAUUUUCUGGAUCCUGGUGAAAGGGUAUGCCAAUAGGGUGGCCCUUCUUGCUGACUCCGUCACCCACCCCGACCAGUCUGCCUUCAUUCAAGGGUGGUAUAUUCUGGAUGGGGUGCUAGUCUUCCACGAAGUCCUGCACAAGGUCCGGUCCAAGCACCACCGUGCGGUCUUCCUGAAGCUCGACUUCCAUAAAGCCUAUGAUACGAUCCAUUGGCCCUUCCUUCGAGAAGUCUUGCUCUGUAAGGGGCUUUGA
Molecule: ribosomal RNA, 387 nt
Filed under: Triticum aestivum (bread wheat)
Lineage: Eukaryota; Viridiplantae; Streptophyta; Magnoliopsida; Poales; Poaceae
Description: partial small subunit ribosomal RNA
Source: RNAcentral